AGUGUCGUAAGGGUGCGUAACACGUAUGCAAUCUGCCCUCAACAGGAGGAUAGCUCCCCGAAAGGGGAAUUAACACUCCAUAAGAUGGUGAACUGGCAUCAGUUUAUCAUUAAAACUGAGGUGGUUGAGGAUGAGCAUGCGCAUGAUUAGCUAGUUGGCGGGGUAACGGCCCACCAAGGCGAUGAUCAUUAGGGGAACUGAGAGGUUGAUCCCCCACACUGGCACUGAGAUACGGGCCAGACUCCUACGGGAGGCAGCAGUAGGGAAUAUUGGACAAUGGGUGCGAGCCUGAUCCAGCCAUGCCGCGUGCAGGAAGACGGCCUUCUGGGUUGUAAACUGCUUUUAUCUGGGGAUAAAAAGGGAGUGCGCUCCAAAUUGAAGGUACCAGAUGAAUAAGCCACGGCUAACUACGUGCCAGCAGCCGCGGUAAUACGUAGGUGGCAAGCGUUGUCCGGAUUUAUUGGGUUUAAAGGGUGCGUAGGCGGUCUGUUAAGUCAGUGGUGAAAUACUUCAGCUCAACUGGAGAGGUGCCAUUGAUACUGGCGGACUUGAGUACUGAUGAGGUAGGCGGAAUGGACGGUGUAGCGGUGAAAUGCUUAGAUAUCGUCCAGAACACCGAUAGCGAAGGCAGCUUACUAAGGAGUAACUGACGCUGAUGCACGAAAGUGUGGGGAUCAAACAGGAUUAGAUACCCUGGUAGUCCACACUGUAAACGUUGAUCACUCGAUGUUG
Molecule: ribosomal RNA, 732 nt
Filed under: uncultured Bacteroidota bacterium
Lineage: Bacteria; Pseudomonadati; Bacteroidota
Description: bacterial SSU rRNA
Rfam family: Bacterial small subunit ribosomal RNA
Source: RNAcentral